AGGAGGAGAAGGAGGAGGAAGAAGAUGAAGAAGUAGUACGUGCUACACAAGGAUCAAUAUCGAUAGAAACAAAAGAGCAAACCAACAACUUAAAUUGUGGCAUUGCAUACUGUAUGAAAACUGUUGCAGUUAGCCAAUAUGAAUAUAGUUAAAAUAUGUCAACAAUGUGGUAAAGACGUAUUUCAAAAUCAGAAAUGUUAUCCACCUUCAUUACAAGAAAAUGGCAGUGUGCAGCAGGCCAUGAAACUCAGAAAUGGCAGUCCCAACCAAGGAUUCGUAAUAUCAAUUUAUGAGAUUUUGUGCUCUGCUCAAAUAUUUUGCUAAGUGGUAACAACUUCUCCAAGAUUCAGCAUCUUUUCAACUUACCCGGUAUAUGUAGAUGGGGAUACGUCUCAAAGAGGACAUAUUAUAGGCUUCAACACCAGUAUGUCUGCCCGACAUUGGGGAGAAAAUGACGUCACGGAAAAAUACACAGGACAGGAUGUUGUUAAUGUUCUUCGUCUAUGUGGAGUCAACUUGGAUUUCAUCUGAUCUAUGGCCCCCAUCGAAAUAGUCCGGGUUCAAACAGUCCAUAAGAACAAACAACUACGUAGAAGGAUGGCACAAGGCCCUAAACAAUGCUGCUCAAACAGGAAACCUCACCUUGUAUAAGAUGAUCCCCCUUCUCCACGACUUAUCAAGGCUGGUGAA
Long non-coding RNA from Anneissia japonica, 690 nucleotides. RefSeq lists it as uncharacterized. NCBI's taxonomy places the organism in Eukaryota, Metazoa, Echinodermata, Crinoidea, Comatulida, Comatulidae. The transcript is spliced from 3 exons. The record is from RefSeq and is a predicted model, not a curated record.